UGUACGUUUACAUAAAAUAGAGUGAAUUGUUACACUUUUUCAGAUUAUUGUAAAAAUAAAGUGUGUUGUUACAUGCAAAUUUUUUCUGGAUAUUUUUUUGUUCAAGAACACAAAUGUUUUUAAUUUCUUGAUUGAUCAAUUUUUUGUGUUAAAUUUAUUUAAGAAAAAAUGCAUGUUAUAUUUUUCGGUGUAGCAUAAAUAAUCUACGUUUACAUAAAAUAAAGUGCAUUGUUACACUUUUUUAGAUUAUUGUAAAAAUAAGUGUGUUGUUACAUUUUUUUAUGUUACAAAAUGAUAAUCAGUUUCAGAGUUAACUAGGAUCAUACCAGAUCUUUUGAGGAACAUCAACAACCUGCAAGUUGAACUGUUUACCUGUGAGCAAGAAAUUCAGAAGAAGAAGAGGGUUAUAUGGUUACUGAUAUUAGCGUUAGUGAUUGGCAGCUUACUUGUUUGCAUUGUUUGUUGUGAUUAAGAAAUAGGUGGUACUCAGUUGGAUUAUCCUUGUUAAUAUGUUAAUGACAUUUUCGGUAGUAUGUACUUGUUGAUAUUUAUGUAG
This 556-nucleotide long non-coding RNA is filed under the name Helianthus annuus (common sunflower). Its description in RNAcentral is "hypothetical non coding rna". Lineage: Eukaryota; Viridiplantae; Streptophyta; Magnoliopsida; Asterales; Asteraceae. The record is from RNAcentral.